This 492-nucleotide ribosomal RNA is filed under the name uncultured bacterium. RNAcentral describes it as "partial 16S ribosomal RNA". It matches the Rfam family "Bacterial small subunit ribosomal RNA", at positions 29 to 507 of the family's 1533-position model. The record is from RNAcentral.
AGUGAACGCUGGCGGUAGGCCUAACACAUGCAAGUCGAACGGCAGCACAGUAAGAGCUUGCUCUUACGGGUGGCGAGUGGCGGACGGGUGAGGAAUACAUCGGAAUCUACUUUUUCGUGGGGGAUAACGUAGGGAAACUUACGCUAAUACCGCAUACGACCUACGGGUGAAAGAAGGGGAUCUUCGGACCUUGCGCGAUUGAAUGAGCCGAUGACGGAUUAGCUAGUUGGCGGGGUAAAGGCCCACCAAGGCGACGAUCCGUAGCUGGUCUGAGAGGAUGAUCAGCCACACUGGAACUGAGACACGGUCCAGACUCCUACGGGAGGCAGCAGUGGGGAAUAUUGGACAAUGGGCGCAAGCCUGAUCCAGCCAUACCGCGUGGGUGAAGAAGGCCUUCGGGUUGUAAAGCCCUUUUGUUGGGAAAGAAAAGCAGCAGGUUAAUACCCCGCUGUUCUGACGGUACCCAAAGAAUAAGCACCGGCUAACUUCGUG